UUAAAAAAGAAAAGAAAAGAUAACCGAACAAACCAAUAUCCAAUUAACCGUUAUAAAUAAAACGUGAAAAUUAAGUUCAAAAAAACCAAAAUUACUUGUCUACAUGCUGCUCUUUGGCGUGGGCAGCAGCACUCGUCAAUCGAAGGGAACAAACAACACUUGUCUCACAAUUUUCACCACGUUGAUCGCACGCAUAAAAUAUUUCACCACCGUCCCCUAACUUUCCUCUUCCAUCAGCAAGCAAACGGAUGUUUCUGCCGGAAAUGACAUGGAUCAAUUCAGAGGUUUCAACAUGUCUGAUUUCAAUAAAAGUGGGUUCAAAAGCCAAUAUAUAAGGAUAACUUAAGGCAAAGUUUUGAGGACUUCCUUCCCAAACAACAAACCAUGUAGGACGAGAACGCCAUCCAUCUCGAUUUACGUAAAAAGCAAAUUGGGAAUAGCAUAAAAGAAAUUCACCGCCAUUCAUACGAUAGAUAGCGAUAGGUUUAACAUUUUCUUUCUUCUCCACAAAUUCAAGAGACGUAUCGGCUGGAUCCAGUAGAGACUGCGUCUCUAGGUUAUCGAGACUGACCACCUCAAAACCUCUCGUACAUCCGACACAGAGUUUAUUCUUCAGGAAGUGAACCGAAGUUGAUUCCGUGGGUAUAUAAAGCUCUUUGACAAUCCUCAAUGGGUCUUGGUUAACAGUAAGGAAUUUUUUCAAGCUUGGCAUGUUCCGUGUUUUAGAGUAAUUAGUGACUGGUUCAAAAACCUUUAUAGUAGCACUCAAGACGGAACUUUUGACAGCACACACAAGAACUUUACCCAGACAAAUUCCUACGCGAAAGAAAGUUGUAUGACCAGAAACUUUCCUUGCUUUUUUAGGGGCUUGAGUAGUAUCCGCAUCAAUCAUUUCCAAAGGAUACGAAUAUAACACCUUAUCGGAAAGCAGUAGCAAUAAACUAUACUCUUCAAUAACCUCAAGCUGUGAAAUGUUGGGAAUAUUUAACGCACGUACAGGCUUGAAUUGAAGUGGGCUGUUUGCUUUUCGAAGAGAGACGUACACACCUGUGUCAGUCCCAUAUAAAAGUCGACGACCACUAUCAUAAACGCCUAUCGCAUUUACUUUAUUAUCACCAACAAAGAAAUUAGAGCAAAUGGUAACAGACUCAAACCACUGGUUACGAUGUUGUAGCAAUGUUUGUUGGUUGUCAAUAUGCUCUAACCACUUAUCCCUACUAACUUCAGUGGUUGCAUAAAGAGUGAUUUCG
This is a non-coding RNA of Schizosaccharomyces pombe (fission yeast), 1250 nucleotides long. The record is from the annotation of a GenBank genome assembly. NCBI's taxonomy places the organism in Eukaryota, Fungi, Ascomycota, Schizosaccharomycetes, Schizosaccharomycetales, Schizosaccharomycetaceae.